CUUGGGGUAGAAUUGCACCCCCCUGUCACGGAUUAAAACACAGGCGAUGUUGCGCUGUGGAGGGGAAGGUGCAGGAUGGCACAGGGAUUUCGCAGCAGAGGUUCGCCCUGAGAGGAUAUUUUAAUUCCAUCUGGCUGAGACGCCGUGCAGCAGCCAACUUCAGCCUGUCUUCCACAAUCCCUGCACAGUAUCCAGGUAGAAAGAUCCCAAAUUAAUCUUCUUUUUUCUCUUUAUUGUUCUAUCUACCAAAAGAAGUGGCUCCUAUAUUCAGAUACCUUUUGAGCAUCUCUAUUUCUAUAAUGUAGACAGAAAAAAUAGGAUUUAUUAAAGCAGCCUAGUGCUUUCAGUGUGUGUCUGGAUCCGUUGUCUGAGCCAGCCCUACUAACACAGAAAAAAUGAGGUAAGAUUCCUUUGGAAAAUUAUCAACUUCUGGAGUGGCAAAAGUACUUUUUGGUGUGCAUCUGGCUUGUAGAAUGGAUGCCUGAGUUAAAACAGUAGCCUUUUUAUUCAUGACUGCCUAGUGCAAGACUAUAUGUACUGUAUACUCAGCAUAAGUAAACAGUGAAUGCCCAAG
RNAcentral lists this long non-coding RNA (574 nucleotides) under Crocodylus porosus (Australian saltwater crocodile). RNAcentral describes it as "lncRNA (ENSCPRG00005009408.1)". The record is from RNAcentral. Lineage: Eukaryota; Metazoa; Chordata; Crocodylia; Crocodylidae.